UACGUAGGGUGCAGGCGUUAAUCGGAAUUACUGGGCGUAAAGCGUGCGCAGGCGGUUUGCUAAGACAGGUGUGAAAUCCCCGGGCUUAACCUGGGAAUUGCGCUUGUAACUGGCAAGCUAGAGUGUGGCAGAGGGGGGUGGAAUUCCACGUGUAGCAGUGAAAUGCGUAGAUAUGUGGAGGAACACCGAUGGCGAAGGCAGCCCCCUGGGUUAACACUGACGCUCAUGCACGAAAGCGUGGGGAGCAAACAGG
RNAcentral lists this ribosomal RNA (253 nucleotides) under uncultured bacterium. Its description in RNAcentral is "partial 16S ribosomal RNA". It matches the Rfam family "Bacterial small subunit ribosomal RNA", at positions 524 to 776 of the family's 1533-position model. The record is from RNAcentral.